GGCCGGGUCCCGUGCAAUGGAGGCUUGUAAACCCCGUCAGGUCCGGAAGGAAGCAGCGGUAGCAAAUCCCUUCAUGUGUUGCGGCAAACCUGGCCACC
RNAcentral lists this signal recognition particle RNA (98 nucleotides) under Deltaproteobacteria bacterium. Its description in RNAcentral is "signal recognition particle sRNA small type". It matches the Rfam family "Bacterial small signal recognition particle RNA". Rfam says of the family: The signal recognition particle (SRP) is a universally conserved ribonucleoprotein involved in the co-translational targeting of proteins to membranes. Archaeal SRP consists of a 7S RNA and homologues of the eukaryotic SRP19 and SRP54 proteins. In most bacteria, the SRP consists of a 4.5S RNA and the Ffh protein (a homologue of the eukaryotic SRP54 protein). The record is from RNAcentral. RNAcentral also lists the same sequence under 2 other names. Lineage: Bacteria; Pseudomonadati; Myxococcota; Myxococcia.